AGAACGAACGCUGGCGGCAUGCCUAAUACAUGCAAGUCGAACGAACUCUUCGGAGUUAGUGGCGCACGGGUGCGUAACGCGUGGGAAUCUGCCCCUUGGUUCGGAAUAACAGUUGGAAACGACUGCUAAUACCGGAUGAUGACGAAAGUCCAAAAGAUUUAUCGCCAAGGGAUGAGCCCGCGUAGGAUUAGCUAGUUGGUGAGGUAAAGGCUCACCAAGGCAACGAUCCUUAGCUGGUCUGAGAGGAUGAUCAGCCACACGUGGACUGAGACACGGCCCAGACUCC
This 286-nucleotide ribosomal RNA is filed under the name uncultured soil bacterium. RNAcentral's name for it is "partial 16S ribosomal RNA". It matches the Rfam family "Bacterial small subunit ribosomal RNA", at positions 26 to 339 of the family's 1533-position model. The record is from RNAcentral.